Molecule: long non-coding RNA, 3512 nt
Organism: Dreissena polymorpha
Lineage: Eukaryota; Metazoa; Mollusca; Bivalvia; Myida; Dreissenidae
Exons: 2
Source: RefSeq, a predicted model, not a curated record
AUCACCGUUCAUUUUUUAGAAUUAAACCUUUGUUAGACACAAUUUAAUUUUGUGAGCAUUGGUGAAAUAAUACUGAUAAACAUUAUAGAUAUCAUUUGGAUUUUCAUUUUAACCUGAUAACACUGUCUAUAUUGUAUAGAAAAUAUGACUUAACUUGAAAACCAAAAUGGCAGAACGAAUGGAAACGCCAUUAUAAUCAGCAUCGGAAACUGUGUAUGAUUGUCUUUGUUUCGGAUGCGAAGAGAACGGUCAGCAAAUUGAGAUUCAACAUUUCUGCAAAAGAUGUCGACGCUAUUUUUGUGAAAACUGCGUCGGUGUGCAUAAUCAACUUUUCAAGAACCAUGUCGUUUAAGGGAAGGGAGUGAAAUCAGACUGGCCCCUUGCAGAAGCAAAGCUUGAUUAUAUAACAAAGUGCGAUCAACAUCCGGAAGAAACGAUAAAGCUGAAGAGGCGGGAGAAUUUGAAUUGAAGAGGAUUUUCAGAACCUCCCUCAAAAUGUUCUCGCUAGAUGUGAAAAGAUAAACUCAGAACACGUUGAAAUGGAGAAGCAGCUUGAGACUCUUCAACCCAGUUUUGACGAAACACUUCUAGAAGACGCGUCUUUCCAAAAGAAAAUGACAGAUGCAAUAAAUAAGCUGGGUCAGUCGUCUACUUCGGAACUUAAAACAAUGCUUACCAGAAUUCAUGAAACCUGCAAUAAUGAAAUUUAGCGUCAUUUAGAAAUUAAUCAAAGUUAUAAACAUCUCCAAAAAGGCCACGAAAGCAUAAAACAGGAUAAUAAGCAACUAGCGUUUAUACUGUGUAAGAAAUAUUAUGAACUUUACGAAGAAACAGACUCGCUAUAAACGAAAAGACGACAGGGAAAUAAGCUUCAGAUUACAUGCUGAAGCAUCGAUGUUGCAGUUACUGUCCGAAUUUGCUAGCCUUGGAAAAGUUCAACAUAUAAGAACGAGUCAAGUAAAGUCAUUAAAGUAUCAGAAAAGACCGAGUUUACUAUUUCAGAAGUUUCGGAAACGGGAAUGAUAAUUGGAAUAUGUGAACUGGCAAACCGUAAGUUCAUAAAAGCUGAACGUUCUAACGCGAAGACUUACUUGUUAGAUGACUCGUUAAAAGUGGUGUCACAUCUUUAUUUGAAAGGCCACCCGCAACAAAUGUGAAACGUUAGUUUAUAUAGCGUGGCCGUUCUACUUGAUGACGGGGAUCUCCUCUUUAUUCGUAUUAAUUAUCACCAAAUGACAACGGAGAUAAUAGUACAAUUGGGGAAAGGUUGUUCCGGUUUUGGAUACCACAACAACGAUAUAUUUGUAGGAAAAUCUGCAAACAUCGUCCACUACAGUAUUGCAGGAAAUGUCAAACAAGAAAUAUCUAUUCAACGUGGAUUUGCGUGCAGGUGUGCGGCAAGCCCGGACGGGACAAUUGUAUGCGUCACAACCCAAGUUGCGAAAACAUUCCUUGAAAUGACGAAGGCUAAGACUCUUCAACCUCCUUCAGGCGAGCUUAAGCUCACGUGGCCAAUGGACGUUCAUGUUACAAAAAAUGGUCAGGUGCUUGUCUGUUGUUGUGGAUCUAAGGAAAUCGUGCAACUAAAUAAGGAAGGUAAAAAGAUACUGGGACGCAUUGCCGUCAGCGGUAGUCCCGCGUGCGUGUGCUUCAGCAAAAAAAGGGGAAUGCUGCUCGUGGGUCUAAAUGCCAGCAACAAAAUACAGGUGUUCAAGACGAGGCAAUUAGAAUUCCUUAACUAAAAUAUAUCAAAGUUUCAAAUUAAAUGCAACUGACUCUGUCUGAGCACAUGCAGUAGGGCUAGUAUUGAGCCCGAAGAACAUACGGUGUACCCAAAUUAUAAUAAUGGUUUGUAAAUAUCUGAUGCCUUUAAAACAUUGUUAAAUAGGUUAUUGCACACAUAUAAUAUUUGUCCACGGUGUUUGAUGUAUUGCUACAGUGGUUGUUUUCCAUUUUAGCUGAUAUACAAUUCAAAUUUGUAUUUAAAGCAGCCUUUUCACAGAUUUUGGCAUAUACUGAAGCUUGUCAUUAAAUGCUUUUAAUUGAUAAAAUUAAAACAUUGGACCUAAAAAUCUCUAGUAAAAAACAAGAAUACAGUUCAAAAAAGGAUAAAAAGUAACCCUCAACUGGGCUCGAACCACUGGAGUGUAGGAGUAAAAAGUCUCCCACUUAGACCACUCGACCAUCCGUGCUCAUGUUAUGAGCUGAUGUAUUUUUAGCUCGACUAUUAUAUAUGAAAUAUUUAUAGUGGAGCUAUCCUACUCACCACGGCGUCGGCGUUCCCGUUCCGGUGAGCGUUGGAAUGUUAAAGUGUGUGUACCACCUCAAAUAUUUCCCAUAUCCCUUGACAUAUUGCUUUUAUAUUUUGCAUACUUCUUUACCAACAUGACCCCAACCAAUACACAAGAGCAGACAACUGUAUCAAGAAUUUUGUAAGAAUUGUGGCCCUUUUUUCACUAAGAAUGUGCAUAUUAUUGAUAAAGCUAUGUUAAAGUUUACGUACCACCUCAAAUAUGUCCCUUGAUAUUGUGCAUACUUCUUUACCAACAUGACUCCAAUCUAUAAACAUGAGCAGACAACUGUAACAAGCAUUUUGUAAGAAUUAUGUUCCCUUUUUAUACUUAGAAAAUUGAAAAUUGGGUUAAGUUUUGUGUUUAGGUUCACUUUAUUCCUAAAGUAUCAAAGCUAUUGCUUUCAGACUUGCAAAACUUACUAACUAUCAUAAGGGGACUGUGCAAGCAAAGUUGUGUAACUCUGGCUGGCAUUUUGACAAAAUUAUGUCCCCUUUUAUACUUAGAUAAUUUAACAUUUGGUUAAGUUUUGUGUUUUGGUCCAUUUUACUCAUAAAGUAUCAAGGCUAUUGCUUUCAGACUUGAAAAAAAUCUCGCUAGCUAUCGUAAGGGGACUGUACAGGGCAAGUUGCAUAUCUCUGGUUGGCAUUUUAAUGAAAUUGUGGCCCUUUUUUUAUCUUAGUUACUUUGAAUAUGUUGUUAAAUUGUGUUUUAAGAUCCACUUUACUUCUGAAGUAUCAAGGUUAUUGCUUUCAAACUUCAAAUACUUUCUUACUAUCACUAGGGUGCUGUACCUGUAAGUUGAUUUAUACCUUGACCUUUGAAUGACCUUGACUCUCAAGGUCAAAUUAAUAAAUUUUGCUUAAAUUGCCAUAACUUCUUUAUUUAGAAUUAGAUUUGAUUCGUACUUUGACAAAACAACACUAAACUGACAUUCCACAAUGGACUGCAUCCACACCAUCCCCCACGCCCCACCCCAGAAUCCCACUCCAAAAAAAUAAUAUAUUUGUUUCCCUUUUUUCUUCUUAUUUUUGAAAUAUCAUCUAAUAAAUGACCACCCCCACAUUAUACCCCCUCUACAACCCCAUCCCACCAUCCCCACCCAAUUUUGUUUUUGAAACAUUGAUUAAACUAUUUAUUUAUUUUAUUUUUGAAGGACCGUCCAACCAUUCUACCCAAGCUAUUGCUAUCAAACUUGAAAUAAAAUCUUAUUACCAGGUA